GGCAAAGUGGUUUGAACACUGGACUAUGACUCUAGAGACCAUGGUUCGAAUCCCGGCUCGGCCA
Molecule: transfer RNA, 64 nt
Filed under: Phrynosoma platyrhinos (Desert horned lizard)
Lineage: Eukaryota; Metazoa; Chordata; Lepidosauria; Squamata; Phrynosomatidae
Description: tRNA-OTHER
Source: RNAcentral